UGCCCAUUAUUCACGCUUACUUAGGGGGAGGAGCUUAAGCUGCUUUAAAGAGCUCAAGUGCCAUCACAGACGUGCCAUUUCAGCAUAAUGCUGCUCAUCACAAUUAUCCUGCUCUGUGCUGUUGGGAAUGGAAGGUUUGAGAGUCUCAUUACAUCAGACGAAACUGAGGUCUUUCAUGAGGAGGGUGACAGUAUCGCUUUGUCCUGUAGCUACUCAACAGCAAUUAGUUUGCAUUGGUACCGCCAGUAUCCCAAAUCAGCUCCUGAAUAUAUUUUAUUAAUUCUCCAAACCUCUGGACGGGUCCAGAGUGCAGAGAAUCUGGAUUCUCGGUUUUCUGUGAGACUAAAUGAAAAGAAAAACCGUGUGGAUCUGAUCAUCUCCUCUGCUAAAGUAUCAGACUCUGCUCUGUAUUACUGUGCCCUGGAGCCCACAGUGACAGGAAACACUAGAACACGGUACAAAAACCUGCCUAAACAUAGUAGAAAAGAUAUAGACCCAUAA
Molecule: non-coding RNA, 501 nt
Organism: Rhinichthys klamathensis goyatoka
Lineage: Eukaryota; Metazoa; Chordata; Actinopteri; Cypriniformes; Leuciscidae
Source: the annotation of a RefSeq genome assembly